This 455-nucleotide ribosomal RNA is filed under the name uncultured bacterium. Its description in RNAcentral is "SSU rRNA". It matches the Rfam family "Bacterial small subunit ribosomal RNA", at positions 26 to 518 of the family's 1533-position model. The record is from RNAcentral.
AGGAUGAACGCUGGCGGCGUGCCUAAUACAUGCAAGUCGAGCGGUAAGGCCCCUUCGGGGGUACACGAGCGGCGGACGGCUGAGUAACACGUAGGAACGUACCCCAAACUGAGGGAUAAGCACCAGAAAUGGUGUCUAAUACCGCAUGUGAUCUUCGGAUUAAAGCUUCGGCGGUUUGGGAACGGCCUGCGCAUGAUUAGCUUGUUGGUGGGGUAAAGGCUUACCAAGGCUUCGAUCGGUAGCUGGUCUGAGAGGAUGAUCAGCCACAUUGGGACUGAGACACGGCCCAAACUCCUACGGGAGGCAGCAGUGGGGAAUAUUGGACAAUGGGCGCAAGCCUGAUCCAGCAAUGCCGCGUGGAUGAAGAAGGUUUUCGGAUUGUAAAGUCCUUUCGGCGGGGACGAUGAUGACGGUACCCGCAGAGAAGCCCCGGCUAACUUCGUGCCAGCAGCCGC